This 222-nucleotide ribosomal RNA is filed under the name Escherichia coli O157:H7 str. K6687. Its description in RNAcentral is "partial 16S ribosomal RNA". It matches the Rfam family "Bacterial small subunit ribosomal RNA", at positions 1 to 217 of the family's 1533-position model. Lineage: Bacteria; Pseudomonadati; Pseudomonadota; Gammaproteobacteria; Enterobacterales; Enterobacteriaceae. The record is from RNAcentral.
UUAAAUUGAAGAGUUUGAUCAUGGCUCAGAUUGAACGCUGGCGGCAGGCCUAACACAUGCAAGUCGAACGGUAACAGGAAGAAGCUUGCUUCUUUGCUGACGAGUGGCGGACGGGGGAGUAAUGUCUGGGAAACUGCCUGAUGGAGGGGGAUAACUACUGGAAACGGUAGCUAAUACCGCAUAACGUCGCAAGACCAAAGAGGGGGACCUUCGGGCCUCUUG